Molecule: ribosomal RNA, 253 nt
Filed under: uncultured bacterium
Lineage: Bacteria
Description: partial 16S ribosomal RNA
Rfam family: Bacterial small subunit ribosomal RNA
Source: RNAcentral
UACGUAGGAGACGAGCGUUGUCCGGAGUUACUGGGCGUAAAGCGCGCGUAGGCGGACGCUCAAGUCUGGCCUGAAAGCCCCCGGCUCAACCGGGGAGUGGGGCUGGAAACUGGGUUUCUUGAGGGCGAUAGAGGAGUGUGGAAUUCCUGGUGUAGCGGUGAAAUGCGUAGAGAUCAGGAGGAACACCCGUGGCGAAGGCGGCGACCUGGGUAGAUACUGACGCUGAGGCGCGAAAGCGUGGGGAGCAAACAGG